ACGCUAGCUACAGGCUUAACACAUGCAAGUCGAGGGCAGCGGGUUGAAAGCUUGCUUUCAAUGCCGGCGACCGGCGCACGGGUGCGUAACGCGUAUCAAACCUGCCUCAUACUCGGGGAUAGCCCUGCGAAAGUAAGAUUAAUACCCGAUGUUGUUGCUUUCUCGCAUGGGAGAGUAACCAAAGAUUUAUCGGUAUGAGAUGGUGAUGCGUCCGAUUAGGUAGUAGGCGGGGUAACGGCCCACCUAGCCUUCGAUCGGUAGGGGUUCUGAGAGGAAGGUCCCCCACACUGGAACUGAGACACGGUCCAGACUCCUACGGGAGGCAGCAGUGAGGAAUAUUGGUCAAUGGGCGAGAGCCUGAACCAGCCAAGUAGCGUGCAGGAUGACGGCCCUCCGGGUUGUGAACUGCUUUUAGUUGGGAAUAAAAAAAGGGACUUGUCCCUUCUUGUAUGUACCUUCAGAAAAAGGACCGGCUAAUUCCGUGCCAGCAGCCGCGGUAAUACGGAAGGUCCAGGCGUUAUCCGGAUUUAUUGGGUUUAAAGGGAGCGUAGGCGGAUUGUUAAGUCAGCGGUUAAAGGGUGUGGCUCAACCAUGCAUUGCCGUUGAAACUGGCGAUCUUGAGUGCAGACAGGGAUGCCGGAAUUCGUGGUGUAGCGGUGAAAUGCUUAGAAAUCACGAAGAACUCCGAUCGCGAAGGCAGGUGUCCGGGCUGCAACUGACGCUGAGGCUCGAAAGUGUGGGUAUCAAACAGGAUUAGAUACCCUGGUAGUCCACACAGUAAACGAUGUAUACUCGCGGUUUGCGAUAGAUUGUAAGCCGCCAAGCGAAAGCAUUAAGUAUACCACCUGGGGAGUACGCCGGCAACGGUGAAACUCAAAGGAAUUGACGGGGGCCCGCACAAGCGGAGGA
RNAcentral lists this ribosomal RNA (909 nucleotides) under uncultured bacterium. RNAcentral describes it as "bacterial SSU rRNA". It matches the Rfam family "Bacterial small subunit ribosomal RNA", at positions 33 to 936 of the family's 1533-position model. The record is from RNAcentral.